CUCCGGUGUGGCUGGGCCCCCAGCCCUCGCGGUGUCGGGAGCCUGUGUCCCGCGCUGAGCCUCGGUAGCUCAGAGGACUUGAGAACUCGUGUUCUCCACGGCUGAGGAAGAGUAAGGUUCUUCAUUCAAAGAAUAGAUUCGUGGAGUUGUUAACUCGCUUCAGGCUCCCACCUCAGUGCCUGGGUCAGGUGGGAAUGAGAGGGGCAGGGGUCCUGCCUGACGUUCUGGCUGGGCCGGAAAGGCGCUGAACAGGUGACGUGCACACUGGGGGUCCAGAGAGCGUAAGUGCCGAGGAGGAGACAGAAGGAGGUUGUGCGGUCGAACAGCCUGUCCCACAGAAACGGUGCGGACCGCCAAUCCCGUUCAGGUGUUCGAACUGCCACAAAACAGUAAAAAGGAGCAAGUUACGUUCAUCUCAGUAGUAACAACAUGGAAUCAAUAGAAAAUCAUUAAUGAUUAAUGAUCUAUAUUAAUGAUAUAUUUUGCCUAAAAGUCCGGUGUGUAUUUUAUACUUCCAGCCCAUUUCAGUUCAGACUAGUCCCAUUUCCAGAGCUGGGAAGCAGCCUGUGUGGCUGGAGCAGCGUGAGGAGUGCACAGUGGCGUAAGAUGCAGCGGAAGAGACAGGCCAGAUUUUCUCCAAGCUCUUAUCCUGGUGGACUGCCAAGAAAUUCAGUCUCUCUCANNNNNNNNNNNNNNNGAUCCCCCAAAAGUUUUAAGGGUC
RNAcentral lists this long non-coding RNA (721 nucleotides) under Ursus maritimus (polar bear). RNAcentral's name for it is "lncRNA (ENSUMAG00000016403.1)". Lineage: Eukaryota; Metazoa; Chordata; Mammalia; Carnivora; Ursidae. The record is from RNAcentral.